AUAUAAUCAAAAGUUUAUAAUGUUAUAAAUUGAAAUAUUAUUAUGUUUAUAUAUAUGCAUAUGAUGUAGAUAUAUGUACAUAUAUUUUUUGUUAUUUUAUAAUAAAAAGUUUAUUUUUAAUAAGAUAAAAAAAAAAAAAAAAAAAAAAAAAACGUAUCAUUUGGUAUAAUUUAAACCAACACAAUUUGUGCUUAAUUGUAAUAAACUAAAUUAUUUGGCUUUUUCAUUGUCGAAUCUUAUGUUUACCAAUAAAAAAAAAUUACAUGACAAUUUAACCGAUAUAUGUACGCAUAUAUAUUGUACUCUCUUUUAUUUUAUCGUUAGUGACAUCUUUAAUACAUUGAGGUUAAAAAAAAAAACAAAAAAGCUGCUUAAGUGUAUAUAUGUAUUAUAUAUUAUAUAUAUAUAUUUAUAUAUACAUAUAUAUUAUGUACAUAUGUAAUAUGUACAAAUGCCUUAUGUCGUUUCAUUUAUUUUAUCAUUUGCUUGUAUGAUAUUUAAAAAAAAAAAAAAAAAAAAAAAAAAAACGAAUUAAGGUAAAGAAAAUAACCUAUUAAAAAACUAUUUAAACAAUUAAAAAAUAAAAAAAUAAAAUAACACAAAAUGUACAAGAUAUAUAAAGUAUACAAAAAUAUAUAAUACAAUAUCAACCAAUUUUUUUAUUUUUUUUUUCUUAAUAUCAAAUAACUGCAUAUAAAAUAUAAAAAAAACAAAAAAAUAAAAUACCUAAAAAUUAAUGUAACAUUGAACAUAUCAUUAUAAAGCUUUUUUUUUUUAUUAUUUACUUUUGACUUAACUUUUUUUCAUUUUGGCUUUUUGUUAACAUAUUAUAAAUAUAAUUAUAAACAAAGAAUAAACAAAUUUUUUGUUUUUUUUCAUAUUAUAACAUUCUUAUAACUUUAUUAAAUUAAACGAUUUAUACAAAAAUGGAUGCAUUAAACCCUCAAUUUGAAAUGAUAGGAAAGCAGUUUGUGAAUCAUUACUUUCAAUUAUUUAAUACAGGAAGAAACGAAUUGGCAUCUUUAUACAAAGAUGUAAGUAUGAUGAGUUUCGAAAAUGAUCAAUGCAAGGGAACUAGUCAAAUAUUAGAAAGACUAAAUAAAUUACCUCAAACAGUAGUUCAUAAAUGUUUAAGUUUAGAUAUUCAACCAACUCAUAAUAAUGGGAUUUUAAUAUUAGUUUGUGGUGAUAUAGUUAUAGAAGAAAAU
Molecule: long non-coding RNA, 1208 nt
Filed under: Piliocolobus tephrosceles (Ugandan red Colobus)
Lineage: Eukaryota; Metazoa; Chordata; Mammalia; Primates; Cercopithecidae
Description: lncRNA (ENSPTEG00000014651.1)
Source: RNAcentral